UACAGAGGUCCCAAGCGUUGUUCGGAUUCAUUGGGCGUAAAGGGUGCGUAGGUGGCGUCGUAAGUCGGGUGUGAAAUCUCGGGGCUUAACUCCGAAACUGCAUUCGAUACUGCCUUGCUAGAGUACUGGAGAGGAGACUGGAAUUUACGGUGUAGCAGUGAAAUGCGUAGAUAUCGUAAGGAAGACCAGUGGCGAAGGCGAGUCUCUGGACAGUUCCUGACACUGAGACACGAAGGCCAGGGGAGCAAACGGG
Molecule: ribosomal RNA, 253 nt
Filed under: uncultured bacterium
Lineage: Bacteria
Description: partial 16S ribosomal RNA
Rfam family: Bacterial small subunit ribosomal RNA
Source: RNAcentral